Molecule: ribosomal RNA, 606 nt
Filed under: Acaulium sp. 1 RJ2014
Lineage: Eukaryota; Fungi; Ascomycota; Sordariomycetes; Microascales; Microascaceae
Description: eukaryotic LSU rRNA
Rfam family: Eukaryotic large subunit ribosomal RNA
Source: RNAcentral
UUGACCUCGGAUCAGGUAGGGUUACCCGCUGAACUUAAGCAUAUCAAUAAGCGGAGGAAAAGAAACCAACAGGGAUUGCCUCAGUAACGGCGAGUGAAGCGGCAACAGCUCAAAUUUGAAAUCUGGUCACCUCACGGAGGCCCGAGUUGUAAUUUGAAGAGGAUGCUUUUGGCGAGGUGCCUUCCGAGUGCCCUGGAACGGGACGCCACAGAGGGUGAGAGCCCCGUAUGGUUGGACGCCGAGCCUAUGUAAAGCUCCUUCGACGAGUCGAGUAGUUUGGGAAUGCUGCUCAAAAUGGGAGGUAAACCCCUUCUAAAGCUAAAUAUUGGCCAGAGACCGAUAGCGCACAAGUAGAGUGAUCGAAAGAUGAAAAGCACUUUGAAAAGAGAGUUAAAAAGCACGUGAAAUUGUUGAAAGGGAAGCGCUUGCGACCAGACUUGCGCCCGUCGGAUCAACCGUCGCUUGUCGGCGGCUCACUCCGGCGGGCUCAGGCCAGCAUCAGUUUCCCCGGGGGGAGAAAGGCGGUGGGAAUGUAGCUCCUAGGAGUGUUAUAGCCCGCCGCGUAAUACCUUCGGGGGGACUGAGGACCGCGCAUCUGCAAGGAUG